Molecule: non-coding RNA, 25 nt
Filed under: Cricetulus griseus (Chinese hamster)
Lineage: Eukaryota; Metazoa; Chordata; Mammalia; Rodentia; Cricetidae
Also listed under: 1 other name
Source: RNAcentral
CUCUAGAUAGUCAAGUUCUGAUCCA